Molecule: ribosomal RNA, 1241 nt
Filed under: metagenome
Description: bacterial LSU rRNA
Rfam family: Bacterial large subunit ribosomal RNA
Source: RNAcentral
UGAGUACAAGAUGCUACGGCAUUGAAGCAGUCUAUGUCAUACUUCCAAGAAAAGCUUGCAAUGUCAUAAACAAAUAAUGCCUGUACCAUAACCGACACAGGUGGGUAGGUAGAGUAUACUAAGGGGCGCGAGAUAACUCUCUCUAAGGAACUCGGCAAAAUGACUCCGUAACUUCGGGAGAAGGAGUACCUUAUUUUAUAAGGUUGCAAUAACAAGGUCCAAGCAACUGUUUACCAAAAACACAGGUCUCCGCUAAGUCGUAAGACGAUGUAUGGGGGCUGACGCCUGCCCAGUGCCAGAAGGUUAAAGAAGUUGGUUAGCAUUUGCGAAGCUGAUAACUGAAGCCCUGGUGAACGGCGGCCGUAACAAUAACGGUCCUAAGGUAGCGAAAUUCCUUGUCGGGUAAGUUCCGACCCGCACGAAAGGCGUAAUGAUUUGGAUACUGUCUCGGAGAGGGGCUCGGUGAAAUAGACUUGUCUGUGAAGAUGCGGACUACCUGCACCUGGACAGAAAGACCCUAUGAAGCUUUACUGUAACUUGAGAUUGAAAUUGGACUUUAUUUGCGCAGUAUAGGUGGGAGACCUCGAAAGUAUUCUUGCGGGAAUAUUGGAGUCAUCAGUGAGAUACCACUCUUAUAAUGUUAGAUUUCUAACUUUGUAUCAUUAUCUGGUCAAAGAACAGUUUCAGGCGGGCAGUUUGACUGGGACGGUCGCCUCCCAAAUGGUAACGGAGGCGCACAAAGGUUUCCUCUGAACGUGUAGAAAUCGUAUCUAGAGUGUAAAGGCAUAAGGAAGCUUGACUGUGAGACCUACAAGUCGAGCAGGGACGAAAGUCGGUCUUAGUGAUCUGACGGUGCUGAGUGGAAAGGCCGUCACUCAACGGAUAAAAGUUACUCUAGGAUAACAGGCUGAUCUCCCCCAAGAGUUCACAUCGACGGGGAGGUUUGGCACCUCGAUGUCGGCUCAUCGCAUCCUGGGGCGGUAGUACGUCCCAAGGGUUGGGCUGUUCGCCCAUGAAAGCGGUACGCGAGCUGGGUUCAGAACGUCGUGAGACAGUUCGGUCCAUAUCCGGUGUAGGCGUUAGAAUAUUGAGAGGAGCCUUCUUUAGUACGAGAGGACCGAGAAGGACAUACCUCUGGUGUACCAGUUAUCGUGCCAACGGUAAACGCUGGGUAGCUAUGUAUGGAGAGGAUAACCGCUGAAAGCAUCUAAGUGGGAAGCCCACCUCAAGAUAAGUAUUCU